UAAUGGGUCAGCGACUUAUAUUCAGUGGCAAGGUUAACCAUCUAGGGGAGCCGUAGGGAAACCGAGUCUUAACUGGGCGUUCAGUCUCUGGAUAUAGACCCGAAACCAGGUGAUCUAGCCAUGGGCAGGUUGAAGGUUGAGUAACAUCAACUGGAGGACCGAACCGACUAAUGUUGAAAAAUUAGCGGAUGACUUGUGGCUAGGGGUGAAAGGCCAAUCAAACCUGGAGAUAGCUGGUUCUCCCCGAAAGCUAUUUAGGUAGCGCCUCGGACGAAUACUACUGGGGGUAGAGCACUGUUAAGGCUAGGGGGUCAUCCCGACUUACCAACCCUUUGCAAACUCCGAAUACCAGUAAGUACUAUCCGGGAGACACACGGCGGGUGCUAACGUCCGUCGUGGAGAGGGAAACAACCCAGACCGCCAGCUAAGGUCCCAAAUUACUACUAAGUGGGAAACGAUGUGGGAAGGCUCAGACAGCCAGGAUGUUGGCUUAGAAGCAGCCAUCAUUUAAAGAAAGCGUAAUAGCUCACUGGUCGAGUCGGCCUGCGCGGAAGAUGUAACGGGGCUAAGUAGUAAACCGAAGCUGCGGCAAUAUACUUUUGUAUAUUGGGUAGGGGAGCGUUCUGUAAGCGGUUGAAGGUGUGUGGUAACGCAUGCUGGACGUAUCAGAAGUGCGAAUGCUGACAUGAGUAACGAUAAAGGGGGUGAAAAACCUCCUCGCCGGAAGACCAAGGGUUCCUGUCCAACGUUAAUCGGGGCAGGGUAAGUCGACCCCUAAGGCGAGGCCGAAAGGCGUAGUCGAUGGGAAACGGGUUAAUAUUCCCGUACUUCUUACAAUUGCGAUGGGGGGACGGAGAAGGCUAGGUGGGCCUGGCGACGGUUGUCCAGGUUCAAGUGCGUAGGCUUAAGAGUUAGGUAAAUCCGGCUCUUUCUAAGGCUGAGACACGACGUCGAGCACCUACGGGUGUGAAGUCAUUGAUGCCAUGCUUCCAGGAAAAGCCUCUAAGCUUCAGAUUGUAAGGAAUCGUACCCCAAACCGACACAGGUGGUCGGGUAGAGAAUACCAAGGCGCUUGAGAGAACUCGGGUGAAGGAACUAGGCAAAAUGGUACCGUAACUUCGGGAGAAGGUACGCUCUUGAUGGUGAAGUCCCUUGCGGAUGGAGCUGACGAGAGUCGCAGAUACCAGGUGGCUGCAACUGUUUAUUAAAAACACAGCACUGUGCAAAAUCGUAAGAUGACGUAUACGGUGUGACGCCUGCCCGGUGCCGGAAGGUUAAUUGAUGGGGUUAGACUUCGGUCGAAGCUCUUGAUCGAAGCCCCGGUAAACGGCGGCCGUAACUAUAACGGUCCUAAGGUAGCGAAAUUCCUUGUCGGGUAAGUUCCGACCUGCACGAAUGGCGUAAUGAUGGCCACGCUGUCUCCACCCGAGACUCAGUGAAAUUGAAAUCGCUGUGAAGAUGCAGUGUACCCGCGGCUAGACGGAAAGACCCCGUGAACCUUUACUACAGCUUGGCACUGAACAUUGACCCUACAUGUGUAGGAUAGGUGGGAGGCUUUGAAGCACGUACGCCAGUAUGUGUGGAGCCGUCCUUGAAAUACCACCCUUGUAGUGUUGAUGUUCUAACGUCGACCCCUUAUCGGGGUUGCGGACAGUGCCUGGUGGGUAGUUUGACUGGGGCGGUCUCCUCCCAAAGAGUAACGGAGGAGCACGAAGGUGGGCUAAUCACGGUUGGACAUCGUGAGGUUAGUGCAAUGGCAUAAGCCCGCUUGACUGCGAGAAUGACAAUUCGAGCAGGUGCGAAAGCAGGUCAUAGUGAUCCGGUGGUUCUGAAUGGAAGGGCCAUCGCUCAACGGAUAAAAGGUACUCCGGGGAUAACAGGCUGAUACCGCCCAAGAGUUCAUAUCGACGGCGGUGUUUGGCACCUCGAUGUCGGCUCAUCACAUCCUGGGGCUGAAGUCGGUCCCAAGGGUAUGGCUGUUCGCCAUUUAAAGUGGUACGCGAGCUGGGUUUAGAACGUCGUGAGACAGUUCGGUCCCUAUCUGCCGUGGGCGUUGGAAGAUUGAAGGGGGCUGCUCCUAGUACGAGAGGACCGGAGUGGACGAACCUCUGGUGUUCGGGUUGUGUCGCCAGACGCAUUGCCCGGUAGCUAAGUUCGGAAUCGAUAACCGCUGAAAGCAUCUAAGCGGGAAGCGAGCCCUGAGAUGAGUCUUCCCUGAUACUUUAAGUAUCCUAAAGGGUUGUCGGAGACUACGACGUUGAUAGGUCAGGUGUGUAAGUGCUGUGAGGCAUUGAGCUAACUGAUACUAAUUGCCCGUGAGGCUUAACCAUACAACAC
Molecule: ribosomal RNA, 2337 nt
Filed under: Vibrio parahaemolyticus
Lineage: Bacteria; Pseudomonadati; Pseudomonadota; Gammaproteobacteria; Vibrionales; Vibrionaceae
Description: partial 23S ribosomal RNA
Rfam family: Bacterial large subunit ribosomal RNA
Source: RNAcentral